AGAGUUUGAUCCUGGCUCAGGAUGAACGCUGGCGGCGUGCCUAACACAUGCAAGUCGAGCGAUUUACUUCGGUAAAGAGCGGCGGACGGGUGAGUAACGCGUGGGUGACCUGCCUCAUACACAUGGAUAACAUACCGAAAGGUAUGCUAAUACAAGAUGAUAUAAGAGAUUCGCAUGGAUUUCUUAUCAAAGCUCCGGCGGUAUGAGAUGGACCCGCGUCUGAUUAGCUAGUUGGUAAGGUAACGGCUUACCAAGGCGACGAUCAGUAGCCGACCUGAGAGGGUGAUCGGCCACAUUGGAACUGAGACACGGUCCAAACUCCUACGGGAGGCAGCAGUGGGGAAUAUUGCACAAUGGGCGAAAGCCUGAUGCAGCAACGCCGCGUGAGCGAUGAAGGCCUUCGGGUCGUAAAGCUCUGUCCUCAAGGAAGAUAAUGACGGUACUUGAGGAGGAAGCCCCGGCUAACUACGUGCCAGCAGCCGCGGUAAUACGUAGGGGGCUGGCGUUAUCCGGAUUUACUGGGCGUAAAGGGUGCGUAGGUGGUUUCUUAAGUCAGGAGUGAAAGGCUACGGCUCAACCGUAGUAAGCUCUUGAAACUGGGAAACUUGAGUGCAGGAGAGGAAAGUGGAAUUCCUAGUGUAGCGGUGAAAUGCGUAGAUAUUAGGAGGAACACCAGUAGCGAAGGCGGCUUUCUGGACUGUAACUGACACUGAGGCACGAAAGCGUGGGGAGCAAACAGGAUUAGAUACCCUGGUAGUCCACGCCGUAAACGAUGAGUACUAGGUGUCGGGGGUUACCCCCCUCGGUGCCGCAGCUAACGCAUUAAGUACUCCGCCUGGGGAGUACGCUCGCAAGAGUGAAACUCAAAUGAAUUGACGG
Molecule: ribosomal RNA, 879 nt
Filed under: uncultured bacterium
Lineage: Bacteria
Description: bacterial SSU rRNA
Rfam family: Bacterial small subunit ribosomal RNA
Source: RNAcentral